AGUGAACGCUGGCGGUAUGCCUAACACAUGCAAGUCGAACGGCAGCACAGUAAGAUCUUGCUCUUACGGGUGGCGAGUGGCGGACGGGUGAGGAAUACAUCGGAAUCUACUUUUUCGUGGGGGAUAACGUAGGGAAACUUACGCUAAUACCGCAUACGACCUACGGGUGAAAGCAGUGGAUCUUCGGACCUUUCGCGAUUGAAUGAGCCGAUGUCGGAUUAGCUAGUUGGUGGGGUAAAGGCCCACCAAGGCGACGAUCCGUAGCUGAUCUGAGAGGAUGAUCAGCCACACUGGAACUGAGACACGGUCCAGACUCCUACGGGAGGCAGCAGUGGGGAAUAUUGGACAAUGGGCGCAAGCCUGACCCAGCAAUACCGCGUGAGUGAAGAAGGCCUUCGGGUUGUAAAGCCCUUUUGUUGGGAAAGAAAAGCAGCAGGUUAAUACCCCGAUGUUCUGACGGUACCCAAAGAAUAAGCCCCGGCUAACUUCGUG
This 492-nucleotide ribosomal RNA is filed under the name uncultured bacterium. RNAcentral's name for it is "partial 16S ribosomal RNA". It matches the Rfam family "Bacterial small subunit ribosomal RNA", at positions 29 to 507 of the family's 1533-position model. The record is from RNAcentral.